AACAAAACCCUGUGGAAACUCCCUUUGGAGAAGAGCUUCUUAUUCAGACUAUGAUUUGUGUUUCUUUGAUUAUGUCUGAGUAAUCCACUUGUUAGGUUUAGGGUUUCUCAUUAGGGAUUCAUAUGGUUUAAUAGAUCGCCCCCUGCUAGGUUAUCUGUAGAAUUCUUCAUCUUUAAUUGUUCUUAAUGCUAGAUCUAGAUUGAUCACCUAGAACUUGAAUCCAGACAAUAGAUAUGCAGACAAUAGAUAUGCCCUCCAUAGGUAUCUGUAGUUGGAUCUGUUAUUUGAUGAGGCUGGUUUAUAGGUGUGUAAUAAGAAUCGUCCUAUCUACUAAGGUGAACAAUCGAACUCGUUAAGAAUGCAUAUUUAGGUUAAUAAUCUCUCGGCUUCUCCGGUUAUUCAUAGCUAUAGAUAUAGGGAGUUUUGCGGCACGCCCACGGGUUAUUCCAUGAUUAGAGUUUGAGUUUAAGAAUGGUUCGAUAAA
This 484-nucleotide small RNA is filed under the name Arabidopsis thaliana (thale cress). RNAcentral describes it as "ATSL167780". Lineage: Eukaryota; Viridiplantae; Streptophyta; Magnoliopsida; Brassicales; Brassicaceae. The record is from RNAcentral.